RNAcentral lists this long non-coding RNA (248 nucleotides) under Elaeis guineensis (African oil palm). RNAcentral's name for it is "long non-coding RNA (EGUI_LNC021714)". The record is from RNAcentral. Lineage: Eukaryota; Viridiplantae; Streptophyta; Magnoliopsida; Arecales; Arecaceae.
CUUUAUAGGAUGGAAGGUCGGAUCCACUCCUAAGUAAUGGGUCAUCACCUCCGGAUCUAUGUCAGGCACAUCUACCACCGUCCAAGCGAACAGGUCUGCAUUUACUUGCAAAAAAGCAGUUAGUCGAGCUUUGGUUAUCUGAUCUAUGGAUGAUCUGAUUUUCACAAUUUGAUGAGGAUUUUCUUUCCUCAGAGAGACCUCCACUAGGUCCUCGGACGGCCAAGCAUGCUCUCCAGAUAGAUCAUCGC